GCCUAACACAUGCAAGUCGAGCGGUAACAGGGGUAGCUUGCUACCCGCUGACGAGCGGCGGACGGGUGAGUAAUGCAUAGGAAUCUGCCCGAUAGUGGGGGAUAACCUGGGGAAACCCAGGCUAAUACCGCAUACGUCCUACGGGAGAAAGGGGGCUUCGGCUCCCGCUAUUGGAUGAGCCUAUGUCGGAUUAGCUAGUUGGUGAGGUAAAGGCUCACCAAGGCAACGAUCCGUAGCUGGUCUGAGAGGAUGAUCAGCCACAUCGGGACUGAGACACGGCCCGAACUCCUACGGGAGGCAGCAGUGGGGAAUAUUGGACAAUGGGGGCAACCCUGAUCCAGCCAUGCCGCGUGUGUGAAGAAGGCCCUCGGGUUGUAAAGCACUUUCAGCGAGGAAGAACGCCUAGCGGUUAAUACCCGUUAGGAAAGACAUCACUCGCAGAAGAAGCACCGGCUAACUCCGUGCCAGCAGCCGCGGUAAUACGGAGGGUGCAAGCGUUAAUCGGAAUUACUGGGCGUAAAGCGCGCGUAGGUGGCCUGAUAAGCCGGUUGUGAAAGCCCCGGGCUCAACCUGGGAACGGCAUCCGGAACUGUCAGGCUAGAGUGCAGGAGAGGAAGGUAGAAUUCCCGGUGUAGCGGUGAAAUGCGUAGAGAUCGGGAGGAAUACC
This 667-nucleotide ribosomal RNA is filed under the name uncultured bacterium. Its description in RNAcentral is "bacterial SSU rRNA". It matches the Rfam family "Bacterial small subunit ribosomal RNA", at positions 46 to 710 of the family's 1533-position model. The record is from RNAcentral.